UGCCUGUCAUAAAGUGCAAAAAGAUCUCGCAACCGGUGAAUAACCUGGUAAGCAAUCAGUAACUCCAGUAAGCCAUCUUGCAUUUGGAGUUCCCGUUCAUCAGAACUUGUAUGACCAAUAACAGCUCCAACGAUCCAUAAGAAAUUAUCCAGUACUUCAGAGAUUGACUCAAAAUUUUCAACUGAUGUUUUGCUCGAUGCCAGGUUG
This 207-nucleotide unclassified non-coding RNA is filed under the name Hevea brasiliensis (rubber tree). Lineage: Eukaryota; Viridiplantae; Streptophyta; Magnoliopsida; Malpighiales; Euphorbiaceae. The record is from RNAcentral.